Molecule: long non-coding RNA, 770 nt
Filed under: Monodelphis domestica (gray short-tailed opossum)
Lineage: Eukaryota; Metazoa; Chordata; Mammalia; Didelphimorphia; Didelphidae
Description: lncRNA (ENSMODG00000046956.1)
Source: RNAcentral
GAAAACCCAAGGCUCCCCUCUCCGAGUUCUCAGCCUCAGCCUAGAGGGUUGAUGUCAUAUUCACGAGGCAGCUUCCGGCUCUCCCAUCAGGAAAGACUUACUGUCCCAGGUCACUGCAGUAGCUUUUUGGGUCAUGGAAGGACUGCAUGAAGAGUCAAAUUAAUCAGCGAAUGGAAGAUUGAGAAAUAUGAACUCAAUGAUAGCUUAAGUAAGUGGAUUCCAAAUUGCUUGUAUGGCCAGAUGCAAUGAAUUAUCAUUAAACACACACCAAGCUUCAAGAUUCUGCAAGGACACUGACCCUCAAACCCCAGAAACCCCUAUCACCUAAGGGAUGUUCCAUGAAGACUUCAUAAGGGGAAAAAAGGACUUCCAUUAAUCAGGAGCUGAAAUUUGGAAUUGAGAAAGCUCAUCAUGCUGCAAAAUUAAAUCAUCCUCCAUUAGCAUUUCUUAUUAGUACCCCUCUGAUUGGAUCCUCUGGCUGGAGGGCUAGCCAAUGGGCUCCAGGGAUUUAGCAAUUUUCCCCAUAUUUAUCAUCAACUAUACUGUUUUCUUUGGACAUCUCCAUCAUGGCCCCAUGCCAGGUUGCUAAUGAGUUGUAGUCGUAAUUCAUAUGUCAGCUACACCUUCGCCGCAGCAGUGUACCACUCUGAUGGAAGCCAGUGGGCGUAAAUGGAAACACACAGAGGCACUUUGAUGAACUGAAAAAGAAAUUACAAAUGACUCGACUCCAGAAUGGGCUGCCAGGUUGGAGUUUCACCAGAAGAAAAAUU